GAAGCUGGAUUCGCUGUAAUCGCGCAUCAGCCACGGCGCGGUGAAUACGUUCCCGGGGCCCUUGUACACACCGCCCGUCAAGCCAUGGAAGCCGGGAGUGCCUGAAGUGCGUGAGCGCAAGCAGCGCCCUAAGGUAAAACCGGUGACUGGGGCUAAGUCGUAACAAGGUAUC
RNAcentral lists this ribosomal RNA (172 nucleotides) under uncultured bacterium. RNAcentral's name for it is "partial 16S ribosomal RNA". It matches the Rfam family "Bacterial small subunit ribosomal RNA", at positions 1322 to 1500 of the family's 1533-position model. The record is from RNAcentral.